AGUGAACGCUGGCGGUAGGCCUAACACAUGCCAGUCGAACGGCAGCACAGUAAGAGCUUGCUCUUACGGGUGGCGAGUGGCGGACGGGUGAGGAAUACAUCGGAAUCUACUUUUUCGCGGGGGAUAACGUAGGGAAACUUACGCUAAUACCGCAUACGACCUACGGGUGAAAGCAGGGGAUCUUCGGACCUUGCGCGAUUGAAUGAGCCGAUGUCGGAUUAGCUAGUUGGCGGGGUAAAGGCCCACCAAGGCGACGAUCCGUAGCUGGUCUGAGAGGAUGAUCAGCCACACUGGAACUGAGACACGGUCCAGACUCCUACGGGAGGCAGCAGUGGGGAAUAUUGGACAAUGGGCGCAAGCCUGAUCCAGCCAUACCGCGUGGGUGAAGAAGGCCUUCGGGUUGUAAAGCCCUUUUGUUGGGAAAGAAAAGCAGCAGGUUAAUACCCCGCUGUUCUGACGGUACCCAAAGAAUAAGCACCGGCUAACUUCGUG
This 492-nucleotide ribosomal RNA is filed under the name uncultured bacterium. RNAcentral describes it as "partial 16S ribosomal RNA". It matches the Rfam family "Bacterial small subunit ribosomal RNA", at positions 29 to 507 of the family's 1533-position model. The record is from RNAcentral.